UACGAAGGGGGCUAGCGUUGCUCGGAAUCACUGGGCGUAAAGGGUGCGUAGGCGGAUUUGUAAGUCAGGGGUGAAAUCCCGGGGCUCAACCUCGGAACUGCCUUUGAUACUGCAAAUCUCGAGUCCGGAAGAGGUGAGUGGAAUUCCUAGUGUAGAGGUGAAAUUCGUAGAUAUUAGGAAGAACACCGGUGGCGAAGGCGGCCCACUGGUCCGGUACUGACGCUGAGGUGCGAAAGCGUGGGGAGCAAACAGG
Molecule: ribosomal RNA, 253 nt
Filed under: uncultured bacterium
Lineage: Bacteria
Description: partial 16S ribosomal RNA
Rfam family: Bacterial small subunit ribosomal RNA
Source: RNAcentral